This 467-nucleotide ribosomal RNA is filed under the name uncultured bacterium. RNAcentral describes it as "bacterial SSU rRNA". It matches the Rfam family "Bacterial small subunit ribosomal RNA", at positions 28 to 508 of the family's 1533-position model. The record is from RNAcentral.
GAUGAACGCUGGCGGCGUGCUUAACACAUGCAAGUCGAACGAUGAAGCCUAGCUUGCUAGGUGGAUUAGUGGCGAACGGGUGAGUAAUACGUGAGUAACCUACCUUUAACUCUGGGAUAAGCCUGGGAAACUGGGUCUAAUACCGGAUACGACCAAUCUCCGCAUGGGGUGUUGGUGGAAAGCGUUAUGUAGUGGUUAUAGAUGGGCUCACGGCCUAUCAGCUUGUUGGUGAGGUAACGGCUCACCAAGGCGACGACGGGUAGCCGGCCUGAGAGGGUGACCGGCCACACUGGGACUGAGACACGGCCCAGACUCCUACGGGAGGCAGCAGUGGGGAAUCUUGCGCAAUGGGCGAAAGCCUGACGCAGCAACGCCGCGUGCGGGAAGAAGGCUCUCGGGUUGUAAACCGCUUUCAGAAGGAACGAAACUGACGGUACUUUCAGAAGAAGGUGCGGCCAACUACGUGC